Molecule: long non-coding RNA, 389 nt
Filed under: Elaeis guineensis (African oil palm)
Lineage: Eukaryota; Viridiplantae; Streptophyta; Magnoliopsida; Arecales; Arecaceae
Description: long non-coding RNA (EGUI_LNC075953)
Source: RNAcentral
CUUAAAGGAGUUACUUUAAUGGGCUCUGAGUUUGAUCUAAUCAAAUCCGAUUCUGUAGGUUUACUAGAUUAUGUCGGUUCAUUUUCUACCAUCAAACUUUCAAGUUCAACUUGAUAGGCAUCAGUUCCUUCUCUAAGAAACUCCUUUCAAAAAGGAAUGCCCUACUGCUGAUGAGCAUCUUAUGUUCUUUAGCAUGAUAGAAUUAGUAACCCUUAAACACCUAUUGGACCAAGAACCAAGUUUAUCUGUAUGCAAACCUUUGAUAUAGGCCGAUCAACUCCAAACCCAAAGGUGAGAGAGUCUAGAUCUAUGCCCGUUCCAUAUCUCAUAUGAAAUCUGCACAACAGACUUACUCAGUAUAUUUUCAGAGUAAAAUAGGUAAUCACACA